UGUGGCAAGAAAGGGAGAUUGCUGGCUGCUGCUCAGCUCCAUAUCAGGUGGAGCGCAAGAUCUUUACUCGCGUGGAUAACAGGAUAAGGCUGCGUUGAUCCCUGUUUUAUUCGACUCAGUACAGCAGAGUAUGUACGCGCCAUUGCCUCUUCCUUUUCAGCCACCCAUUGAAAUGUCAUAUUGUAUUGCAAUCCAGAUGUGAAGAGGUAACUCUCGGAGGUCCGCAACAAGGACAUGCCAGAUAAUUUCUGCUGGUCUUACAAAAGGUAUCUAUGAACAAUUAACCCAUUUGUGUGAAUACUUUUAUAUUAAUAAUUUCUUCUCUAUGAGAGGUUUAGAGGCCCUUAAUUAGCUGUUGAUGAUAGCUUUUUUCCCCCCUGAAACCUAUAUGUAGGCAGUCUUUUAGUUGAAUCCCCACCAGUUUAUUUUCAGUAAUCAGUGUACAAAUGACCAAGUUUUAUGUUUAUGUCUGAAGAUUUUGAUUCACAUUUUCCUGCGUCUUUUGCUUCCUUUUCUAUCUUAAUCUUAUGAUCUCCUGAAUAUGCCAAAUGCUCCUAGAAUUGCAUCCCUAUAAAAUGCUUUCUUAAUGGUGCUCCAUAUAAUUUUCUUUCCACUAGAGAUGUGUCCACUGAGAGUGGAGCACACACUAAGAUGUAUUUAUUUGCAAAGUUUGAGUUCAAAAGUUGGACGUACUUUCAAGGCCAGCUAAUUCUCUAGUUCAUGCUUUGUGUGUCUAUUGUACAUAUUGCAGUUAUAGACCAGUUCUAUGAAUCCAUUUUUUUAUAUCUUGGCAAGGCCCACUUUUCUAUACAGGUCAUGGUUGAUCUCUCGUGAUGAAAGGUAAAAUUGUGUUGUUCCAAUCAGUAGAAAUUUUUCAUUUAUAUGCGAGAGCUUAAUUCUUCUCCAGAAUCGAUUGAAGCUAUCAUAUGCAUCUUAUGCCCAACAGCUAAAUGUAUUUUUGCAAUUUACCUAGAAUGAGCUCGUGUAUGCUCUAUGAUGUGAUUGCAGGUGCAGAUUGAUUUGAAUAAAGAAGUAACUAUUUAUGGAUGAAGGGUGGGCAUGAUCAGAUGGUUUGUAGGGCUAAAACAUUAUCUGGUGAAGACCAUCAGUGAUAACACCACAUUGACAUAGUUUGGAACAGUAUUCUUAUUAACUUUUAAGACUUGAGCUUUAGGAUUAAACAUGGAGGUGCCAUCCAAGAAAAAGCAUUUGGAGAAAAUGAUGAAAAAUUACUUCUUUUAGAUGUACAACCAAGGUACAUAAUCGUGAUUUUUUUGCAUGAUAAUCACGAUUUUAUUGUAUGGAAGAUGAUUGAUCUUCUACUCUUUAACGAUUUUAAUGUAUCCUUUCAUUCGCAA
This is a long non-coding RNA of Lolium rigidum, 1358 nucleotides long. RefSeq lists it as uncharacterized. The record is from RefSeq and is a predicted model, not a curated record. NCBI's taxonomy places the organism in Eukaryota, Viridiplantae, Streptophyta, Magnoliopsida, Poales, Poaceae. The transcript is spliced from 2 exons.